This 453-nucleotide ribosomal RNA is filed under the name uncultured bacterium. RNAcentral's name for it is "bacterial SSU rRNA". It matches the Rfam family "Bacterial small subunit ribosomal RNA", at positions 29 to 524 of the family's 1533-position model. The record is from RNAcentral.
AGCGAACGCUGGCGGCAGGCUUAACACAUGCAAGUCGAGCGGGCGUAGCAAUACGUCAGCGGCAGACGGGUGAGUAACGCGUGGGAACGUACCUUUUGGUUCGGAACAACACAGGGAAACUUGUGCUAAUACCGGAUAAGCCCUUACGGGGAAAGAUUUAUCGCCGAAAGAUCGGCCCGCGUCUGAUUAGCUAGUUGGUGAGGUAACGGCUCACCAAGGCGACGAUCAGUAGCUGGUCUGAGAGGAUGAUCAGCCACAUUGGGACUGAGAUACGGCCCAAACUCCUACGGGAGGCAGCAGUGGGGAAUAUUGGACAAUGGGGGGCAACCCUGAUCCAGCCAUGCCGCGUGAGUGAUGAAGGCCCUAGGGUUGUAAAGCUCUUUUGUGCGGGAAGAUAAUGACGGUACCGCAAGAAUAAGCCCCGGCUAACUUCGUGCCAGCAGCCGCGGUAAU